This is a long non-coding RNA of Dama dama (fallow deer), 559 nucleotides long. RefSeq lists it as uncharacterized. The transcript is spliced from 4 exons. NCBI's taxonomy places the organism in Eukaryota, Metazoa, Chordata, Mammalia, Artiodactyla, Cervidae. The record is from RefSeq and is a predicted model, not a curated record.
GGGCAGAUGACACAUGCUUGAGCGGAGCCUGAGGUCUGCACCUGGGCUGGGCCUGGCGUCACUCACCCAUUGCAGAAUCUUCUUACUAGAGGACUGGAGAAAAAUGAUAGAAUGAAACUGGAGGAAAAGUGUCUCAAGGAGAAAUCAUAAAAAUACUGAAGCCGAGUUAUUGUCCCAAUCGUGUCAUUUACCAGCUGUGUGACCUUGGGUGCAUAAUUGGCCAAGUGCUCCAGGGGUUAUAAAGACUGCCUUCCUGUAGUUGGAAUAGACAGAUUUAGCCUCUUACUGAAAUUGAAGGCUGCAAUGGCGAUAACAAAUCUGAUUCUAACUCUCCCAUGUCACUGCUGCCCAAAGGUGCCUUUGUCUCCCAGGAGAAAGAGGUUGGAGACUGUUCCAUGAAAGAAGGGACCACCAAGUAUAUACACAAUUCCUAGCAUAAUCUUGGCUCAUAGUAGGCUCUCAAUAAAUGUUUGCUGGAAAGCUGAGUGACAGAAGAUUCUCACUGGUAUUCUGUUGCUGUUCUUUAAAAAAUAAAAAGUCUCAGUUUUUCUGCCUUUUG